GGAUAUUUUGGGCAGUAAUAAUUCCACUUUCUUGCUAUUCAUAUCUGUUUUCUUUUAUUACAGGCACCAAGGCUUUGUGAGCUGGUUUCCUGUGAUGUUUCUUCUAUACAAUGCUGAAUGAAUCCUGCUGAAGUCAGCCAGAUCUCUGGACAGUAGGAUUCACCACUUUGUCCAAAUUUGCUGGGAACUAAAACAAAAGAAGGAGACAUCAAUGAAGAUUGGCUUAACCUACCCACCAGGGAAGAGAAGAGCCAGAUUUUUCAUUGUUCCCCUCAACCCUUCAGCCUAGCUCUGACACCUGGUUCCUUAUUCAACAACGGCUUUUUUGUUGAGAUGGGGAGAAAGGAACAUGGUG
Molecule: long non-coding RNA, 355 nt
Filed under: Phascolarctos cinereus (koala)
Lineage: Eukaryota; Metazoa; Chordata; Mammalia; Diprotodontia; Phascolarctidae
Description: lncRNA (ENSPCIG00000000564.2)
Source: RNAcentral